This 403-nucleotide ribosomal RNA is filed under the name uncultured bacterium. RNAcentral describes it as "bacterial SSU rRNA". It matches the Rfam family "Bacterial small subunit ribosomal RNA", at positions 355 to 775 of the family's 1533-position model. The record is from RNAcentral.
UGGGGAAUAUUGGACAAUGGGCGCAAGCCUGAUCCAGCAAUGCCGCGUGGGUGAAGAAGGUCUUCGGAUCGUAAAGCCCUUUCGGCGGGGACGAUGAUGACGGUACCCGCAGAAGAAGCCCCGGCUAACUUCGUGCCAGCAGCCGCGGUAAUACGAAGGGGGCUAGCGUUACUCGGAAUUACUGGGCGUAAAGGGCGCGUAGGCGGCGCACCAAGUUAGGCGUGAAAGUCCUGGGCUCAACCUGGGAACUGCGCUUGAUACUGGUGUGCUUGAGGAUGGAAGAGGGUUGUGGAAUUCCCAGUGUAGAGGUGAAAUUCGUAGAUAUUGGGAAGAACACCGGUGGCGAAGGCGGCAACCUGGUCCAUUACUGACGCUGAGGCGCGACAGCGUGGGGAGCAAACAG